RNAcentral lists this ribosomal RNA (1701 nucleotides) under Trinectes maculatus (hogchoker). Its description in RNAcentral is "16S ribosomal RNA". The stretch from base 99 to 1592 matches the Rfam family "Bacterial large subunit ribosomal RNA". The record is from RNAcentral. Lineage: Eukaryota; Metazoa; Chordata; Actinopteri; Pleuronectiformes; Achiridae.
CGCCAACUAGCUAGCCCACCCCCCUACAAACAACAAAUCAACAUGUAUAAACCCUCAUACACCUACAUCCUACUUAAAUAAACCAUUUUCCCCUCUCAGUACGGGAGACAGAAAAGAGACUUGGAGCAACAGAAAAAGUACCGCAAGGAAAAGCUGAAAAAGAAAUGAAACAACCCAGUAAAGCCCUAAAAAGCAAAGAUUCACCCUUGUACCUUUUGCAUCAUGACUUAGCCAGCACUCAUCAAGCAAAAAGAAUUUCAGUUUGACACCCCGAAACCAGGCGAGCUACUCCAGGACAGCCUAUAAAUAGGGCCAACCCAUCUCUGUGGCAAAAGAGUGGGAAGAGCCUCGAGUAGAGGUGACAGACCUACCGAGCCCGGCCAUAGCUGGUUGCCUGGGAAUUGAAUAAAAGUUCAGCCUCCCGGCUUCUUUCCUCACCACCACUUCAACACACCCCACAGACCCCAAGAAACCCGAGAGAGUUAGUCAAAGGGGGGAUAGCCCCUUUGACACAAGAUACAACUUUUCCAGGAGGGUACUGAUCAUAACCCAUCAAGGAAUAAUUACCCAAGUGGGCCCAAAAGCAGCCACCUCAACAGAAAGCGUCCAAGCUCAAGCACUAAUAGACUCCUUAAAUUCCGACAACCCACUCACAACCCCCUAAAAUUACCAGGCCCCUUCGUGCCCCCACGAAAGAGACCAUGCUACCACGAGUAAUAAGAGAACACCCUUCUCUCCCAGCACACGUGUACACCGGAUUGGACCCCCCACCGAAACUUAACGGCCCCAAACAAAGAGGGAAAUAAACAAAACACCUAAAAACUAGAAAACCACUUAAUACCCCACCGUUGACCCUACACCGGCGUGCCUUCAAGGAAAGACUAAAAGAAAGAAAAGGAACUCGGCAAACAAAAGCCUCGCCUGUUUACCAAAAACAUCGCCUCUUGCAAAACUAAAGAAUAAGAGGUCCCGCCUGCCCACUGAUAUUAUAUUCAACGGCCGCGGUAUUUUGACCGUGCUAAGGUAGCGUAAUCACUUGUCUUUUAAAUGAAGACCCGUAUGAAAGGCUUGACGAAGGCUUAACUGUCUCCUCUUUCCAGUCAAUGAAACUGAUCUCCCCGUGCAGACGCGGGGAUAAAAACAUAAGACGAGAAGACCCUAUGGAGCUUUAGACACAAAGACAGACUAUUUUAAACACCCCUAAACAAGCACUAAAUCCAGUAAGAACCUGUCCCCGUCUUAGGUUGGGGCGACCCUGGGGAAAUACAAAACCCCCAUGUGGAGGGAGGACCUACCACUUAGACCCUCUUAAAAACCCGAAACACAAUUCUAAUUAACAGAACCUCUGACCAAAUUGAUCCGGCCAAAGCCGAUUAACGAAACAAGUUACCCUAGGGAUAACAGCGCUAUCCCCUUUUAAAGUCCAUAUAGACAAGGGGGUUUACGACCUCGAUGUUGGAUCAGGACAUCCUAAUGGUGCAGCCGCUAUUAAGGGUUCGUUUGUUCAACGAUUAAAGUCCUACGUGAUCUGAGUUCAGACCGGAGUAAUCCAGGUCAGUUUCUAUCUAUGAAUGUAAUUUUUUCUAGUACGAAAGGACCGAAAAGAGAGGGCCAAUACCCCAAGCACGCCCCACCCCCACCUGCGGAUACCAUAUAAACCAGCCAACGGGGACAGCCCCAACAACUAAAGACAAUAGCAUU